AAUAGAUACCCUGGUAGUCCACGCCGUAAACGAUGAGUGCUAAGUGUUAGAGGGUUUCCGCCCUUUAGUGCUGCAGCUAACGCAUUAAGCACUCCGCCUGGGGAGUACGGUCGCAAGACUGAAACUCAAAGGAAUUGACGGGGGCCCGCACAAGCGGUGGAGCAUGUGGUUUAAUUCGAAGCAACGCGAAGAACCUUACCAGGUCUUGACAUCCCACUGACCGGUAUAGAGAUAUACCUUUCCCUUCGGGGACAGUGGUGACAGGUGGUGCAUGGUUGUCGUCAGCUCGUGUCGUGAGAUGUUGGGUUAAGUCCCGCAACGAGCGCAACCCUUGAUCUUAGUUGCCAGCAUUUAGUUGGGCACUCUAAGGUGACUGCCGGUGACAAACCAGAGGAAGGUGGGGAUGACGUCAAAUCAUCAUGCCCCUUAUGACCUGGGCUACACACGUGCUACAAUGGAUGGUACAAAGGGCUGCAAGACUGCGAAGUCAAGCCAAUCCCAUAAAACCAUUCUCAGUUCGGAUUGCG
RNAcentral lists this ribosomal RNA (527 nucleotides) under uncultured bacterium. RNAcentral's name for it is "bacterial SSU rRNA". It matches the Rfam family "Bacterial small subunit ribosomal RNA", at positions 777 to 1302 of the family's 1533-position model. The record is from RNAcentral.